RNAcentral lists this ribosomal RNA (507 nucleotides) under uncultured bacterium. RNAcentral's name for it is "bacterial SSU rRNA". It matches the Rfam family "Bacterial small subunit ribosomal RNA", at positions 30 to 518 of the family's 1533-position model. The record is from RNAcentral.
UAAACGCUGGCGGCGUGCUUAACACAUGCAAGUCGAACGGAGUGGUCCUCCCGAAGACCUGAUGGUGCUUGCACCUGAUGGAAUUCAUUUGGAUCACUUAGUGGCGGACGGGUGAGUAACGCGUGGGUAACCUGCCUCACACUGGGGGAUAGCAGUUGGAAACGACUGAUAAUACCGCAUAAGCGCACAGUAUCGCAUGAUACAGUGUGAAAAACUCCGGUGGUGUGAGAUGGACCCGCGUCUGAUUAGCUAGUUGGUGAGGUAACGGCCCACCAAGGCGACGAUCAGUAGCCGGCCUGAGAGGGUGUACGGCCACAUUGGGACUGAGACACGGCCCAAACUCCUACGGGAGGCAGCAGUGGGGAAUAUUGGACAAUGGGGGAAACCCUGAUCCAGCGAACCGCCGCGUGAGUGAAGAAGUAUCUCGGUAUGUAAAGCUCUAUCAGCAGGGAAGAUAAUGACGGUACCUGACUAAGAAGCACCGGCUAAAUACGUGCCAGCCGCCGC